AUUGAACGCUGGCGGCAGGCCUAACACAUGCAAGUCGAGCGGAUGAAGGGAGCUUGCUCCUGGAUUCAGCGGCGGACGGGUGAGUAAUGCCUAGGAAUCUGCCUGGUAGUGGGGGAUAACGUCCGGAAACGGGCGCUAAUACCGCAUACGUUCUGAGGGAGAAAGUGGGGGAUCUUCGGACCUCACGCUAUCAGAUGAGCCUAGGUCGGAUUAGCUAGUUGGUGGGGUAAAGGCCUACCAAGGCGACGAUCCGUAACUGGUCUGAGAGGAUGAUCAGUCACACUGGAACUGAGACACGGUCCAGACUCCUACGGGAGGCAGCAGUGGGGAAUAUUGGACAAUGGGCGAAAGCCUGAUCCAGCAAUGCCGCGUGUGUGAAGAAGGUCUUCGGAUUGUAAAGCACUUUAAGUUGGGAGGAAGGGCAGUAAGUUAAUACCUUGCUGUUUUGACGUUACCAACAGAAUAAGCACCGGCUAACUUCGUG
This 484-nucleotide ribosomal RNA is filed under the name uncultured bacterium. RNAcentral's name for it is "partial 16S ribosomal RNA". It matches the Rfam family "Bacterial small subunit ribosomal RNA", at positions 30 to 507 of the family's 1533-position model. The record is from RNAcentral.